AGGACGAACGCUGGCGGCGUGCUUAACACAUGCAAGUCGAGCGGUAAGGCCCUUCGGGGUACACGAGCGGCGAACGGGUGAGUAACACGUGGGUGACCUGCCCUCAGCUCUGGGAUAAGCCCGGGAAACUGGGUCUAAUACCGGAUAUGACCACAUGUCGCAUGGUGUGUGGUGGAAAGUUUUUCGGCUGGGGAUGGGCCCGCGGCCUAUCAGCUUGUUGGUGGGUGAUGGCCUACGAAGGCGACGACGGGUA
Molecule: ribosomal RNA, 253 nt
Filed under: uncultured soil bacterium
Lineage: Bacteria
Description: partial 16S ribosomal RNA
Rfam family: Bacterial small subunit ribosomal RNA
Source: RNAcentral